AGCCAUCAAUCAAUUAGAGAGGAAGGGACCCUCAUGCAACUAUGCUCUGAAUCUCAUCAUUCCAAACACGCUUCGUUUCAUCUUGUAAUAUUUCACACCAUACUUCUCUCUCUCUUGUGCUAAAAAAUUUCUAUAAAGGUCUAUAAAGGAGGUUUUGACAGUGGGAAGCGAGGGAGUUUCUUUCUUUCCGGAGAGGCAAAUGCGGUUGCUUUGCUUUAUGGAAAGAAGAGAAGGGAACGGAAGAAAAGAGAAAAGAUGUCUUCACCAAGGGAAGCAAAUCAGAAUCUUUGCUUUUCCACACAAGAGUGUAGUGCAGGGCAAGGCAAUAUUAGAACAGUUCAUCUACGGCGACUUCCUUAGCUCCUACUACACUUAGGUCCCAUUCACAAGUCCAGAAUUAAUCUGGCUUGACGAUUGUCUUUUUUCUUUGUUACUGCUUCACGAUGUCUUUUUGGAAAUUUAUUGGUAUUUAAUUUUAAGAUAAUUAAAAUAAGUAUUUGUAAAAAAAUUGAUAAAUUAAUUUUACAGAAAAAAGUCAAAAUUCUCUUUUAUUAUUUAUUUUUUAUCUUGACAAAAACAUAUAUAUUUUUAAUUAGCAACAUAGUUGUUUUAAUAAAUAAAAAACUUGGUAAUUUAAAUAAGUAUUAAAGAAUUUUUAAUUAUUUAAAUUAAAAGGGAAAUCCUGAAUGGUUGUUAAUAAAUUUGUUUUGCUCUCUGUUUUUUAGUCACUUUUUUCUAUUUUGUUAUAUGCUUUGUGUUGGAUUCCACUUGUCUAGGCUUUCUUAACAUUUGUAGAUGGAGCGCAUGAGCGGUCCUUCUGCCUGAAGAGUAUACCAGUGAGGGUUGAAUCGGUCAUUUACCAGAAUAGCUUCUUCAAGGAUCUGUAGACUCCCUACAAAUAUUUAUCAUUAAAUAGUGUCCAAACAUAUCCCUAAAAUUAAGAUCGAUGAUAAUGACAGUGAUGAAGAAACAUCUUAUUAAGUAUGGGUUAUGAGGAUUUAAAUAUAUCAUAUUUAGUUUCACAUUUUUAUCCGUUCUUCAAUUCCUUUUAUUUCACUUAAAUUAUUUUCCCUGAAAAGAAAAUACAAUGUUUAUUUGGCAAAAACUCUUGUGUUUUGGAGGGGCAGGUUCAAGUGGAACUCCAUCAGAUUUAACCAGAGCAAAAGAACAAGACAAGGCAUGUCAUGAUAAAAUGCAAAGCUAAUUAAUUUCAUUCAACAAUUUAAAUUUCUUUGAACUUAAUACAUCAUUACUAAAUUCUAUGUUUGUCUAAUUUCUUCAGGUUUACUACUAUGAGGGUCCUGUCGGCUAAGAUCUUAUACAACAGGUAGUCACUUCCGAAGAUCAGCUUAAGGCUCGGAGUGUCUGCUUUGUGUAAUUUUCCUUGCCUUAAUUUCCUUGGCUAGCUGUGUGUGACGAUUUAUCAUCAAUAAAUUGAUAAACUUUUGGUUGCUCUGAAUUAUUGGCUUGCCUCUUUCUUCUAUUCAACUUAUCUUAUUUAAAAUAAUUGUGUGAUCAUUUAAAUAAUUAUGUUUAACAUAUAAAUUCGUCCUUCUAAACAAACUGAAAAACUGAAGUUGGGAGGAGAAGUAGCACUUAUGCUACUUGUUUCAAAUAAUACAACAGUCAUCAAGAACUUCAAACUUACUGCAAUGUUUCAUUCAUGAGUUUCAAAGAUCUUAAAGAAGAGACAUCCAUUUCCGCACGCUUCAAGAACAUCUACCCUUUCUUUAUAUCUGCGGCUAAAAAUCUAGUGAUAAAUUUACGAAAAAUGUGCAAGAAGUUGUUCUAAAUACAUACAAUGCUGACAGAGGCGAAUGUGGAAUUUUCUCAGCCAUGGCAUGACAAAUUGACAGCGGUAGUUCGAGG
RNAcentral lists this long non-coding RNA (1869 nucleotides) under Populus trichocarpa (black cottonwood). RNAcentral's name for it is "long non-coding RNA (PTRI_LNC003174)". Lineage: Eukaryota; Viridiplantae; Streptophyta; Magnoliopsida; Malpighiales; Salicaceae. The record is from RNAcentral.